RNAcentral lists this ribosomal RNA (639 nucleotides) under uncultured Cantharellales. RNAcentral describes it as "LSU rRNA". It matches the Rfam family "Eukaryotic large subunit ribosomal RNA", at positions 1 to 545 of the family's 3401-position model. The record is from RNAcentral. Lineage: Eukaryota; Fungi; Basidiomycota; Agaricomycetes; Cantharellales.
UACAUAACCUCAGUGGGGUAGGAUUACCCGCUAGACUUAAGCAUAUUAAUCAGCGGAGGAAAAGAAACUAACAAGGAUUCCCCUAGUAACUGCGAGUGAAGAGGGAAUAGCUCAACGUGUGAAUCUGUCCGGGAGUAACCCCUGGUUCAGAGUUGUGCACUGUAGACGUCGGUUUCUGCGCUUGAAUUCCAGUUGUCAGUCCCAAGUCGGAUGAAACACCGCACCACAGAAGGUCAUAGCCCUGUGUCUGACUGUGCUUGAAUUUGCGCCAAUGACCGCACGUUCGUCGAGUCGCGUAGUUUUGUAAUGCUGCGCCAAUUGGGAGGUGGAACCCUUCUAAAGCUAAAUAUCAUGACGUGACCGAUAGCAAACAAGUACCGCGAGGGAAAGGUGAAAAGCAACCAUGUAGAAUGCGUUGAACCAGCAGUGAAAGUGCUACUGGGAUAAGGCCUAUUGAGUGCUAGUCUUUUGGUAUCGUGCUCUACUCGCUGCUCCAGGAGCGGCCUGCGUUGAUUGGAAUCUGGGAGACAUGCUCGGGGUUGAAUUCGGCCAAUGGCUUGCCACUGGUGUUGUAGCUCCCCGAAGAGUUGAGCCCAGAACCGAUCAAAGAUGCUUACGGCGUGCAAGUCCUGCGAUCAU